AUCCAGAUGACGAGUCGUAAAUAGGACGAAACACGCGUCCUGUAU
RNAcentral lists this non-coding RNA (45 nucleotides) under Schistosoma bovis. The record is from RNAcentral. RNAcentral also lists the same sequence under 1 other name. Lineage: Eukaryota; Metazoa; Platyhelminthes; Trematoda; Strigeidida; Schistosomatidae.